UAAUCUCACUACGAUCGACUUUUUGUCUUUCCGUACGUGGACUUGGAUGCUGCCGUGAUAUUCACGACUCGUCUGAAAUGCCUGAGUGUACCCCGAUUUGCGGCGUAUUCGGUGUGAUACAUCUUCACCGGAGUUGAUCCUUUUGGGUCGCGUCUGUAAUGGUGUGGCUCUAUGCUUCGAACCGUCUCCCAGAGACAACCUCUGACA
Molecule: unclassified non-coding RNA, 207 nt
Filed under: uncultured Serendipita
Lineage: Eukaryota; Fungi; Basidiomycota; Agaricomycetes; Sebacinales
Description: sequence contains ITS2
Source: RNAcentral